Molecule: small nuclear RNA, 142 nt
Filed under: Takifugu rubripes (torafugu)
Lineage: Eukaryota; Metazoa; Chordata; Actinopteri; Tetraodontiformes; Tetraodontidae
Description: U4 spliceosomal RNA (ENSTRUG00000028483.1)
Rfam family: U4 spliceosomal RNA
About the family: U4 small nuclear RNA (U4 snRNA) is a component of the major U2-dependent spliceosome. The structure of U4 snRNA from yeast and human has been reported.
Source: Rfam by way of RNAcentral
UUCCUGCCGCAGUGGCAGUAUCAUAGUCUAUGAAGUUUCUACUGAGACGUGAUUAUUGCUAGUUGAAAACUUUAACCCAUACCCCGCCUGGUUGAUUUGCAAUAUAAUCAGCUGUGGCAAUUUUUGAUGGUCUCCUUAGAGA